AGGAGCAAGCACAGGCCACUCUUUCAAAGGGCUGGACAGUGCGAGUAGGAGAGGCAGGGUGACAGCUGACGGCGACAACAGGGACAAAGGAAAGGUUUUUAUUUCUUCACAGGAAGAACAACCUCAGCAUUUUUAAGACAGAAGAACUGAGACCAGUGGAAAGAGAGAUCAUGGACGGAUGAGAAAAAGAAGCACAUCACAUAUCCUUCCCAUUUGGAGGAAAGUGCCCACUGGAACCACUCUCAGGCUUCUCCAGCUCGGUCCGGAGAAUGCACGUCCUCAGCAUCACUGUGGCUCACAGAGACGGCGUCUCAGGCCUGAAUGGCAGGACUCAGGCGUUGCCUAUUCUUUCCUUGUAGUCCCUGAGGUCAGUUACCCUCAGGGCUCUCUUACAAAAUGCUUUUUUUUUUCUUUUUUUUAGGAGAGCAAGGU
This is a non-coding RNA of Manis javanica (Malayan pangolin), 432 nucleotides long. The record is from RefSeq and is a predicted model, not a curated record. Lineage: Eukaryota; Metazoa; Chordata; Mammalia; Pholidota; Manidae.